RNAcentral lists this ribosomal RNA (397 nucleotides) under uncultured bacterium. RNAcentral describes it as "partial 16S ribosomal RNA". It matches the Rfam family "Bacterial small subunit ribosomal RNA", at positions 523 to 918 of the family's 1533-position model. The record is from RNAcentral.
AUACGUCGGGGGCGAGCGUUGUCCGGAAUGACUGGGCGUAACGGGCGUGUAGGCGGCGAUGUAAGUCUGGAGUGAAAGUCCCGCAUUCAAUGUGGGAAUUGUAUUGGAUACUGCAGUGCUAGAGUGCGGAAGAGGUAAGUGGAAUUCUCAGGGUAGCGGUGAAAUGCGUAGAGAUUGGGAGGAACACCAGUGGCGAAGGCGACUUACUGGGCCGUAACUGACGCUGAGGCGCGAAAGCGUGGGGAGCGAACAGGAUUAGAUACCCUGGUAGUCCACGCGGUAAACGAUGAAUGCUAGGUGUUGCGGGUAUCGACCCCUUUUGUGCCGGAGUCAACACAAUAAGCAUUCCGCCUGGGGAGGACGGCCGCAAGGUUGAAACUCAAAGGAAUUGACGGGG